UACCGAAGUUAUAACUACUUAAAUUACUAACGGACAAAGGUUCUUCUGUGGAUCAAAAUGUCACAUAAUUAAUAAAUGAAAGAGGCUAACGAAAGUGCCUUGACUUCUGUGUUCAUUUCAUUCUGCGUGCUUGGACCUAGCCCAAUAAGAGGCCCAACGGUCACAUUCCUGGAACCCAUGCAAAAGGAGCCGCUCUAAAGGGAGUAUGUACAAGCUUAAUGUAAAUGGGAGUGUGGGGAUCGAACCCAAGCAACCACAUAUAAAAUUUUUCAACUAAAAAAGUACAUUGAUGGAUGACUUCCAAUUCUUUAGAUUUCCAAUCUUUUUUUUUUUUGUAAUUAAGCUUUUUACAUUAAUUACCAAUGAAGUUGCAUUACAAAACCACAGUCGGGUGUCAACUUAGCCGACUGUCUAAUGACUAACAUAAUAACUAUUUUCCAGUCCUAACUAUCUAGGUUCUACUAUAUACUAAGAUGCUGUAAUAGUUGUCUAAUUUUAGGGGUGCCUCUAAUGUUACAGUUGUACACUAUGUCUCUCAGUAUAGCAGUAUUACAUCGAAAAGUCUUGUUGAAAACUCUUGCAUUCCUCUCCAGCCAGAUAGCAUAUGUAACUCCAGCAGCAACCAUCUUGAAAAUGGCUGCGCGACAUGUUCGUCCUUUGGC
This 662-nucleotide long non-coding RNA is filed under the name Nicotiana benthamiana. Its description in RNAcentral is "long non-coding RNA (NBEN_LNC037376)". Lineage: Eukaryota; Viridiplantae; Streptophyta; Magnoliopsida; Solanales; Solanaceae. The record is from RNAcentral.